This is an RNA transcript of Phycodurus eques (leafy seadragon), 5087 nucleotides long. It is a transcript of the gene named syntaxin binding protein 4, with no coding region annotated. The record is from RefSeq and is a predicted model, not a curated record. NCBI's taxonomy places the organism in Eukaryota, Metazoa, Chordata, Actinopteri, Syngnathiformes, Syngnathidae. The transcript has 18 exons.
GAAUGAAAAGUUAUCUGUUCUGGUCAUUUUGUAGCACUUUUUGGAGCAGUGUGAUGAAAGCUCAUUUGCGUGCACUUUGGUUUCGUCACACGCUUAGCACACACGGGAAGUGGUCGAACCCGGCGUCCCAAAAAAAAGCGUUCGCUACAAUUAGCCGAGUGCUAAUUGCUCAUUGAACGGCAGAACUUGGGGAAAAGCCACAAGAUGCCAGAAGACGCUCUGCAAACUCAACCCAGGAGCCAUUUGUGUGCGAUUAGUGUUUGUGUCGAUAUACUGUCAAUGCAGCAGGAAGCCGAGUGCGUCGAUGGACUGCCGCUGCUCUACUGGACCAUCAUGAGCCCGCGCGGCGUCACUCGAGCCGUCCGCCGGCUGGAGUUCCGCAACUGCGAGCGAGGACUCGGUGUCAAGAUCAUCGGCGGCUACAGAGAAAUGACGGGAGAGGACUUUGGCAUCUUCGUCAAGAGAGUCGUCGCCGGAGGACUGGCUGCGCUCGACGGUCGGCUUAAGUCAGGUGACCUGAUUGUGGACGUGAACGACAUCAGCCUGAGGGGCGUCACCAACGAGAGGGCGGUGGAGCUCCUGAGGAUGGCAUCGCUGUCCAAUCACAUGUCGCUGCUGGUUGCCAGGGACGACGACUCCAGGCGGGAGUUUUCCGAGCUGAUGGAGAAGUACGGCUGCGCUCCCUUGGCGGCGUCCGGCCGCGUUUCCCCGACUCAGCAGUCGGCGGGCGAAACCCGAGCGGAAGCGCAAGUGCGGACCUCCGCACUUGUGACUCAAGUCCCGAUUUUGCGUCCGGACGCCGAGAGCCCCCGGCUGCUCGGCCCUAAAGAAGGGGUCCCCGUCUACGGCCGUGCGGCCACGCCGGCCUUCAGCGACAGCGUGAUCCAGUUGAUCUGCAUCGCCAAGGGCAGCGGCCUGGGCCUGGGCCUGGUCGUCGUGGGCGGGGCCAACCGUGCCCAAGGUCCCACGGUCUUCAUCCAGGACAUCGUGGCGGGAGGCGACUGCCAGAAGGACGGCAGGCUGCAGGUGGGAGACCAGCUGGUGUCCGUCAACAAGGAAUCUCUCAUCGGCGUGACGCACGAGGAGGCCAAGACCAUCCUGACACGCACCAAACUCAGACCAGAUCCCACCGUGGAAGUGGCCUUCAUCCGGCGUCGGACUUCGUCCGGCUCCGGCGGCGGUCCUCACGGUCCCGUCGACGGGGGGGCCCGGGGCGAGCCCCCCCCUCCGCCGCCGGUCCUGGUCGCCGAGCUCGCCUCCAGCCGGACGCCGGCCAGCGAGACGCUGCCGGCCGUCGACGUCAGCCAGGUGAGUCCAGUCUUUAGCCACCAGCGCGCGUGUGUUUCCUCCUCACCCGAGCCUGACGCCGACACGGAUGGCGGCAGCUGUCGUCUCAAACUGGAGCAAGUGGAAAAGUCAACGUCCGGUUGUGACGACGUGGACGAGAUGGAGCGCCUGAGGAAGGAGAACGUGGAGGCUCUGAGGGAGAUCAAGAGGCUGCAGGAUCGACUGUCGGAGUCUCGCAGGGUUCAGCAGCAGAUGGAGGAGGAGCUGGACGACGUCAAACUGGAAGCCAAGGCGGCCGCGGAGGAGACGCGGGCCCUCCGGGCGCGGGUCCUGCUUGUCGAGGAGGCCCGGAAGCAAGCCCGCGGGAUGGAGAUGGACUACGAGGAGGUGGUCCACCUGCUGGAGGCCGAGAUCGCCGAGCUGAAGACUCACAGAGCCAAACAGCCUCGUCAUCCUCCUCCUCCUCCUCCUCUUCUGGACAAUAAGGAGGACAGCGAACGGCUGAAGGAGAAAGCGGCCGUGCUGGAAUGCCAGCUGAGAAAGAGCGACGCCGCCAAGAAAACUUUGGAGAUGUCGACUACAAAACUGCUGGCGUUUGUCCAGAAUGUUGAAGAGUUUCUGCUUGAAGGACUCGGGCCCACCAAGAGCUUAAGGUACCACCAAAGUCCAACACCGAACUUCACUUUAUUUGUAACUCUGAGCCUUUAUCAUCAUCAUCAUCAUCAUCAUCUUCUUUGAUCUUUAGUUCACCUUGAAGAGCUUUACAUCUUAAUGCACAAUUUUGGUUCGUCUCAACUUUCGUCAUCCGACAAAUGUUGUUUCAAAAGUUCCUCCAAAGGUUCCGCUUCAGUAUACUCCGGAAGAUCCACUAAAGGGUCCUUCAAAGAUUCCUUUAAAUGUUCCUCCUAAAUUUACUCCGAAGGUUCCUCUGAAGUUUCCUUCAAAUGUUUUGAUUGAGUUUCCUUCCAAGGUUUGUUUUAAGCUUCAACCUCAGGUUCCUCCAAAGGUUCCUUCGAAGCGUCCUCCAAUGAUUCCCUCAAAUGUUCUGCCAAAGGUUCCUAGUUAAAUUGCUUCAAAUGUUACACCAAAUAUUCUGCCAAAGGUUCCUUCUCAAGCUUCCCCCAAAGAUUCCUUAAAAAGCACAAGCUUCCUCCUAAGGUUCCUCCUCUAGUGAGAGUUUGUCUAUGUGCAGUGUGAGAAUCUCCAUGUCACCGAUUGGCUUUCUUUUUCAAGAUUACAUUCUUGUUGUAUGUAUACAGCACUUGGUUUGAGAUGCAUUUUAUUUUUAAAGUUGCUCUUGAAAUGGAGUUGAGUUGAGAGUGCGGUGAGAAUUUUCCCGUUCGUCUGUCAGCUUCCCUUCCCGCUCGCACGUUUCCCGCUUUGACCCACUUGAGCCCAGGUGGGCCCGCGGUAAGCCGCUUGGCGCUAAUGAGCGCCCGCCGCCGUGGAGCCUCGUUAGCCAACGGCGGGCGCAGGGGGCGGUCACCGUAUUUCAUGUCAAAAGUUCCGCAGAACCCACAAGACGGAACCGCUUCACUUGUCACACCUCAAAUACGUAGCAGCGUUAACUUUUCUUACUCUGUAUGACUAGCAUUUAUCAGCUAGUACGUUACUAUUAUUAGCACUUGUAUCAUUUUUUUCAUGAGCAUUUAUUUGCUUUUCACCUGUGUUUAUUGGAAAAUAUAUAUUUUAAUAGCACUUAUUAUGAAAUAAAACAACUUUUUGACUAGCAGUUAUUAGCCAAUGAAUAACGUUGACUGGCAUGUACCGUAAUUUCUCGUGUAUAAUGCACAUAUUUCCCCCCCAAAAAUGAUCAAAGGUCAAUAGUGCGCAUUAUACAUUGGUUUAGGGCAAAUGGAAAAAACUUUCACAUUUUAUAAAUGUCUGCCGCCAUCUAGUGGUUGUAAAAAAAUCUGCAGACUUUCAUUCCAAAACACCACCGCCACCUAGAGGUUCCGAGAACGCUGUACACAUCCCAUGAAAAUCACAUUAAAUGCGUUUCGCCUGGUCCUUCAUGUUUUCUUGAAAGAAUUGUACUCAUCUUACAAAUUCUGCCUGGGUAAUCAAAUAUAUGAGCACAACUGUGCGUUUUCUAAUUUACUAAAUAAAAGUAGGGCUGUGAAUUUCAAAAUAAGAGCAAGUAAAUUAAAAAAAGUAUUACGUGUUCAAAUAAAGUGCUUAACGUCAGAAUAAUCCUAAAAACUAACAAAAUACAGAUCAUACUUCAUGUUUUGAUGAUAUGGGUAGAAGCAGAAGAAGCAAAAUCAUGCAUUGUAAAAAUGCAUUAUACAUAAGUAGAAGAGUAUUCCAGAAUGUCUAGGUCAAAUCUGGGGGUGCGUAUUAUACAUGGGUGCACAUUAUACACGAGAAAUUACGGUAUUAGCGUACAAAAAACAUUUUCAACUUUUUCUCUAUUAGCAAAAAAUAUUUUGACUACAGCAUUUAUUACCAUAUAAAAAGCUGUAGCAUUUAUUAGUGCAUCACAUUUUGAUAAGCAUCUAUUAGCAAAUAUUUUUUUGACGAUAGCAUAUAUUAGCACCUAAAUAUCUUUUUCACUAACAUUUCAUAGUAAGUAACUCAUUAGCAGUUGUUAGCAAAUAAUUUAUUGACUAGCAUUUAUGGUAUUGGCAGAUAAAAAAAGGUUUUUCAUUCGUAUUUAUUGCACACAUUGUUAAGCAUACAGAUGGUUGUUUUGUAAAAGUAGCUUGCUUUGAUUCCUAUCCUUGAAUCGUCAUCUCCAAUCUGUCCUUCCUCCUUCGUUUCAUUUUUAUUCCUCCUGAUUUGUUCCCCUUUUUUCCUGCGUGCAUCUUGUUCAGUGUGCUGCUUUGUCUUUCUGCUGUGCAAGUGCGAUUGAUUUCAGUGACAUGAUUCUUGUGUAAGUCCACUUCGGUCAAUCGGGUCAGUCAGAUUGCGUGUGUGGGGCGAGGGGGGUCGCCGUGUCUCUCAUGUUUCAUAACCCCCCCCCCCCACACACACACACAUGCACCCGGAGAUCCCCCACGUUGCUUUGUCCUCCUCACCUGUUCUAGGCCACUGACUGCCGGCUUUUGCGUCGAGUCUGCCGCUGUGCGGGUCGCAAAGAUCAAAAACAACAACAUACAACGACAGAGCAUCGACUUAUCGUUUAGUUUUUUCUCAAUUGCUAAAACAAGUUCCUUGAAACCUCCACCCAUUUUCUCAAUACGUUAAGCACCUAAAAAAAAAUAUUCCAGCUACAUUCACAAAACCCCUGACUGUUCUGCAAAACUGAACUAUUGCCUCAAAACAGCUCCUGAGUCAAUCCACAUGAAAACCCAUUGAGCAGGCAUUUGGCAGAACAUCGAGAAAGGAACAGAUCAUAAAGCUGUAGAAAUCCUCUUUAUUGUUCACCAUAGAAAUGCAUUUUGCAAAAACAAAACAGGACUCCUCUUAAGCACUUGCAGUACAAAAUGUGCAUAUAUUUAAAAAGUACUAGGGCUUCAAGUGUAAUGGAAAAUGGAUGUAUUGAAACACCGUCUUUGUGUACAGCGCUGAAAUCAUCAUGAAAAAAAGCAGUUAACCGUUGAGGUCUCAGAAAGUUCCGACUCUGUGCACACGGCGAAUCUGCUGAGGUUGGGACACGUCAUUGUCGAAGUGCGGACAAGAACACGGUCUACUCCACGACAGUUGCCCGUACUUCAUCUGAAAUACGUCAUUGUUCUUUGUCCUAUCCUGAAGCUCCUCGGCGGCCGCCGGUUGCGUGGACGCUGAGGGGGUCUCUCAAGGCGGACCCUCGCGACACAAGAAGAGCUCGUGGACGGCGGCGGCGCUGGCGAAACAAG